RNAcentral lists this ribosomal RNA (388 nucleotides) under uncultured bacterium. Its description in RNAcentral is "bacterial SSU rRNA". It matches the Rfam family "Bacterial small subunit ribosomal RNA", at positions 29 to 414 of the family's 1533-position model. The record is from RNAcentral.
AGCGAACGUUUGCGGCGGGCUUAACACAUGCAAGUCGAACGGGCUGUUCCUUCGGGGGCAGUCAGUGGCGCACGGGUGCGUAACACGUAGGUAAUCAACCCUCUGGUUGGGGAUAACACUCGAAAGGAGUGCUAAUACCCGGUAUGGCGCAGCGGUCUUCGGAUCGCGGCGAGAAAGACCCGCAAGGGUUGCCAGAGGACGAGCCUGCGGCCCAUCAGCUAGUUGGCGAGGUAACGGCUCACCAAGGCGAAGACGGGUAGCUGGUCUGAGAGGAUGAUCAGCCACACUGGAACUGAGACACGGUCCAGACUCCUACGGGAGGCAGCAGUGGGGAAUAUUGCGCAAUGGGCGAAAGCCUGAAGCAGCAACGCCGCGUGUGCGAUGAAGG